This 515-nucleotide ribosomal RNA is filed under the name uncultured bacterium. RNAcentral's name for it is "partial 16S ribosomal RNA". It matches the Rfam family "Bacterial small subunit ribosomal RNA", at positions 28 to 523 of the family's 1533-position model. The record is from RNAcentral.
GAUGAACGCUGGCGGCGUGCCUAAUACAUGCAAGUCGAGCGAAUGGAUUAAGAGCUUGCUCUUAUGAAGUUAGCGGCGGACGGGUGAGUAACACGUGGGUAACCUGCCCAUAAGACUGGGAUAACUCCGGGAAACCGGGGCUAAUACCGGAUAACAUUUUGAACCGCAUGGUUCGAAAUUGAAAGGCGGCUUCGGCUGUCACUUAUGGAUGGACCCGCGUCGCAUUAGCUAGUUGGUGGGGUAACGGCUCACCAAGGCAACGUGGCGUAGCCGACCUGAGAGGGUGAUCGGCCACACUGGGACUGAGACACGGCCCAGACUCCUACGGGAGGCAGCAGUAGGGAAUCUUCCGCAAUGGACGAAAGUCUGACGGAGCAACGCCGCGUGAGUGAUGAAGGCUUUCGGGUCGUAAAACUCUGUUGUUAGGGAAGAACAAGUGCUAGUUGAAUAAGCUGACACCUUGACGGUACCUAACCAGAAAGCCACGGUUAACUACGUGCCAGCAGCCGCGGUAA